UUGCACCGGUGAUUAGUGGCGAACGGGUGAGUAACACGUGAGUAACCUGCCCUUAACUCUGGGAUAAGCCUGGGAAACUGGGUCUAAUACCGGAUAUGACUCCUCAUCGCAUGGUGGGGGGUGGAAAGCUUUUUUGUGGUUUUGGAUGGACUCGCGGCCUAUCAGCUUGUUGGUGAGGUAAUGGCUCACCAAGGCGACGACGGGUAGCCGGCCUGAGAGGGUGACCGGCCACACUGGGACUGAGACACGGCCCAGACUCCUACGGGAGGCAGCAGUGGGGAAUAUUGCACAAUGGGCGCAAGCCUGAUGCAGCGACGCCGCGUGAGGGAUGACGGCCUUCGGGUUGUAAACCUCUUUCAGUAGGGAAGAAGCGAAAGUGACGGUACCUGCAGAAGAAGCGCCGGCUAACUACGUGCCAGCAGCCGCGGUAAUACGUAGGGCGCAAGCGUUAUCCGGAAUUAUUGGGCGUAAAGAGCUCGUAGGCGGUUUGUCGCGUCUGCCGUGAAAGUCCGGGGCUCAACUCCGGAUCUGCGGUGGGUACGGGCAGACUAGAGUGAUGUAGGGGAGACUGGAAUUCCUGGUGUAGCGGUGAAAUGCGCAGAUAUCAGGAGGAACACCGAUGGCGAAGGCAGGUCUCUGGGCAUUAACUGACGCUGAGGAGCGAAAGCAUGGGGAGCGAACAGGAUUAGAUACCCUGGUAGUCCAUGCCGUAAACGUUGGGCACUAGGUGUGGGGGACAUUCCACGUUUUCCGCGCCGUAGCUAACGCAUUAAGUGCCCCGCCUGGGGAGUACGGCCGCA
This 800-nucleotide ribosomal RNA is filed under the name Arthrobacter sp. RNAcentral describes it as "bacterial SSU rRNA". It matches the Rfam family "Bacterial small subunit ribosomal RNA", at positions 80 to 890 of the family's 1533-position model. Lineage: Bacteria; Bacillati; Actinomycetota; Actinomycetes; Micrococcales; Micrococcaceae. The record is from RNAcentral.